GUAGAUAUAGUUUAACAAAAACAUUAGAUUGUGAUUCUAAAAACAGAGGUUAAACCCCUCUUAUCCACC
RNAcentral lists this transfer RNA (69 nucleotides) under Andinoacara biseriatus. RNAcentral describes it as "tRNA-His". It matches the Rfam family "tRNA". From Rfam's summary of the family: Transfer RNA (tRNA) molecules are approximately 80 nucleotides in length. Their secondary structure includes four short double-helical elements and three loops (D, anti-codon, and T loops). The record is from RNAcentral. Lineage: Eukaryota; Metazoa; Chordata; Actinopteri; Cichliformes; Cichlidae.